This 275-nucleotide ribosomal RNA is filed under the name uncultured bacterium. RNAcentral describes it as "partial 16S ribosomal RNA". It matches the Rfam family "Bacterial small subunit ribosomal RNA", at positions 338 to 605 of the family's 1533-position model. The record is from RNAcentral.
CCUACGGGUGGCAGCAGUGGGGAAUCUUGCGCAAUGCGCGAAAGCGUGACGCAGCAACGCCGCGUGGGGGAAGAAGGUUUUCGGAUUGUAAACCCCUUUCAGGAAGGACGAAGGUUUGGCGGUUAAUAGCCGAUCGGACUGACGGUACUUUCACAAGAAGCUCCGGCUAACUACGUGCCAGCAGCCGCGGUAAUACGUAGGGAGCAAGCGUUGUCCGGAAUCAUUGGGCGUAAAGCGCGCGUAGGCGGCCCGGUAAGUCCGUUGUAAAAGUCAAA